AAUGAACGCCAAGUUAAUUUCACACACACACAAAAUUAUAAGUACUAAAAAAACAUACUGAGCUUCAGGUAAUGCACUGAUUUUCAGCCUGAAGUUUUUCUAAGCUGUACUUGUAUUUCUUUGGUAUAGAUAACACUGUACAGUUAAGGAUUUGCUCCACAUAAACGUGCAUGUGAUUACACUUGAACUUAAGGCUAAGAUUACCUGCAUCUGAUACAAGGUUAUUCAUGUGAUUCUGUCAAUAAUAGCAUCUGCAACUUGUGGGGAAGAAAAAUAGCUGGUUUGUAUGAUGUGCUUGAGUGUUAUUUCAUCCUCAGGUGUCAUUCAUCUGCAGAUUUCUGAGUAAAUUCCUUCUUGAACAAUUAAGAUAAGCACUUGUUUGAAAAAAAGAGAGCAAGAUUAACGUAGCUGACUGGAAAUUGUGAUGUCCUGUGUUUUCAGUAUGGCUUACAUCUCUGAAGAUAGAGACAGUCACAACAUGAGUAUGUUGUUCUGUAAUACAGAGAGUGAAUGUAGCACAAAUAUUACACUAUAGUGCAAGUACAGUGUAACACUUGUGGGAGUGUGAAAGGAAUACUUGAAGCAGGUAGGGCUUGUGUGUAGAAGUGUUCACCAUCUGCAGUAACAGUCCUGUCCCAAGCUCUCUUGUAUGCACACUUUUACUGUAUUCUAGAAGAUAAAAUCACAAGCCUUACCAUGAAUAUUUACUCCUUAUAACUUAUCAUUUAUUCCUCCCUAAAAGUUCUCCACCUUAGUCAGAUGGACCUCUGUAUUUUCCUCCUUUUGAUAGUGUUCUCUUAAUACCAAAAAGAAGCACUAAAAUUACACGUAGGUCAAGGGAACAAACAAGGAGCAAUGUUCAGAAAUCACACCAUUCCUUGGCUGAGGAUUUUGAAGGAGAUGUAACAGAACAAUGAGCCAUGCUUUUAUCAACCAAAUAUGAGCUUUCUUCACAAUGCUGAAGUCUUUUUGAAGAUUCAGCCAUUUUGAAAUCCAGGAAAUGAUCCUGAAGGAUCCCACGCUUAUGUUCCCAAGUAUGAACCAUUAGAGCUUCUGAGUGGACUAACUGCAGAAGAUCUGCAGCCAUCAGGGCUUCACACUCAUGCUUUCCACGUAAUCUGCCUUAGAAGUUACUCUUCGCAACAGGACCAGUCUCUAGAUGGUAAACAUCUACAAAUAUUUUAGAUAACAUUUUUGCACCAAUAAAACUACAAUCACUAAAUUGUAAAACAAAUGUAACCUAAACCAAUGACUUGAGGUGGCAAAGAGUCUCAGAAGGGGCAGUAGCUUAAAUGGUUCCACGCAGAGACCAUUUGAGGGCAGAGAAUGCUGAAAGGUUAAGUUUGUUUGUACCAGUGGAAGUCGCUACCUUUCUUUCCCCACUGUGUAAGAAACGUUUUACUUCUGGUGGGAUGCACUGAUAACAACUGCUGAUCAGAGUCAGAGUUAUCCUCUUACUUGACCCUGCAUCUAACUUUCUUUAUCCUACAUCUAAGUUCCUUCAACCAACUGUUCAUGGCACUGUGUCAGUAAUGACUUACUAGCACUUCAAGAUUUCUGGAAAUUCCUUGGCUCUCCUCCUGUUACCACUCCCAAGUUGGAAUACAAGGAAACUUGGCUGGAAAAUAUUAACAACCUUUGUGUUUUGUCUGCAUAGAGAAAAGAAUUGCUAUAAAUCGACUGCUGCUAGCUUAGAUAUUUUAAAGAUUAGCAGAAUGAAUUGAUUUUUAAAUUCCCAUAAAGAAUGAGACCGUUCCACAAAAUAAAUUUUCUUAAAGGAAACAAGAACUUGUAAGUCCACAUUCAUGUACAUUGUGCCUAAUUUUAAGAUGAAGUUAAUAAAAUGCUAAAUGGUUAACUUCAUCAGUCUGGAGACUUCUGGCACUCGUGACUGAUGGUUUGAAAAUAAAUUUGAGAUAGAAAUAAUAAUAAAAAAGGCAAAUCACAGUCAGUGCAGUGUCGAUAAUACUUGUUUGGCUCUUACGAUUUGUAUCUGCUGUGAUCCAAUAAAGAUCACAACUUAGCAGUGGCUUCCCACUGAGGGACUUAAACUAUACAGGAUUAUGUAGCACUUAAAGACACUCUGCCCUUGCUUUUUUCUGCAAGUAUCUGCAUUUCGCAUGUGGUGACGUUCUGAAUAUUACCUCUGCAGCUAAGAAUUCCAAGAAUCAUCAAGUCCAACAUCUACUAAAGCAGGUAAAUACAGUUUAAUGUUGAAGAUGUGGGAUGUUCGUGGAAAAAUAUGUGAAAGAAUGUCUUUGAAUAAAUCUCAGAUCUGUUCUGCAAACAACGUGCUUAUCAAAAGAUGACUUUGAAGGCUUACGAGAGACAGCAAGCAUGGUUAGAUGAGCAAACCUGGCUUGGAAUUGUGCCAUGCCCUUGGACCUUCCUACACAAAAAUGUUAAUAACAAUCACACUUGUUCUAAAAACAAGAACAGAGAGAAUUGUGCACUUGUUCAUUUGUAUUGAUCCUGCCAGAUGAUGAACCUUUGCUGCAAUAGCAUUGCUACAAUGAGAAGUUACACAGAUCCAUAACUUUAAAUAAUCCUUUUUGGCAGUGCUUUUCUCUGCCCUCCAGGACUGAGAGUUUAGCCAGCACAGUGCAGCCAGGGGCUUGCUGGAGGAUUUUGUCUCAGAUGACCCCAACAAUGAAAAUCUCUUGGGUAAGGGUGAAGAGAGGCUGAGAUACUGCUGCUAUCCAUGUGGGAAGGAGGAGAGCUGAAAAUGGGCUUCUCUUGAGGAUGGAGCCAGUCCCCCAGAAUAUACUGAACUAUACAACAGAGGCCAAAGUAAACAACAUCCAGCAAAAAGUAUUUGCAAACGUAGAUAAAGCUUAGCUCUUCCCUCCGCACGUAGUAGAUUCUGUCCUCUUGACAGCGAUCCGCUGAGGGUAACCAUGAUGAUAUUUUCUUCAGGUACUGAGGGAACCAUCACUGGCUGGGCUAAGCAGUACAGAUCUGCACCACAGCAGGUGGAGAAGGAAACAUACUGUAUGUUGUCAAAGUUCUCAACAAUGACUCGGAGAUGUUGUCUUCUCAGUGUUUGCUUGCUUGUCAGCAGGGCAGCUGCUGUUACUGCUGCUGAGAGCAGGCUUACAUUUUUUCUUAAGGUAAGAAGGUAUCAACACCGAAAGGAAGAGUCUAAACAGCACUUGGACUGCAUUAGUUAAAACUUACUGUGGUAAACUGGGGUUGGUUUGUAUCUCUAACAAAGUCUGUUUGUUUACAAAGGACACUAAGACUUGUUACAUCAUGGCAACAGGUUCUUCAUGCUUUUUUCCUGACAGCUGACUGGAUAUGUGCAGUCCCUACGCAGGGGCAGAGACUAUUGUUGGUAAGAUGUCAAACAAUUAGAUGGGAAAACUGGAAUGGAACCCAGUGUCAUGCAGUUGGAGUCUUUUGGUGUGAGAGGGCUUUUUGGUGAGCCACAAAGGAUAUGAGCUGUUGCAGUCUUGACUCAUCAAUUUUGCUGGUGAUAAUCCAAACUUAUACGGGAGGUCUCUUGGCGCAAGAGUUUGUAACAGAAGGGCAACAAACACAGAUGAUCCACUGCAAGCAGACACUGUGCAGUGCCUGCAGCUCACGUGUUCCAGCACUUGCACAAUCACUUUAAGUGCAAAAUUACAUAAAACCAGCAUUAACCCAACCAGAACUGUUCUCCAUAAGCUGCAGGGUUAGAAGUUCUAACCAAGUGAGGGAGCACACAAGCGUGAGAACUGGCAUAUGCCUGAAGGUGCAUCUAUGCAAAGGCAAAAGGAUUGGUGAAAGGGGCAGGAUCUCCACCAUUUGGCAACAAGAAGUUGUCCAAUAGCUCAGCUGUCUAAUUUAGCUCUCAGUACAACAUUCUGCUUCCAGAUCUCAGCUGCAAUUUUAUAUAUAUUUAAAUAUAUAUCACUAUCAACUACUGUAAAAAUAAGUUUCCUUGCACUACAACCAAUAAUCAAAUACAUAAUGCUGCAAGAUAAACAUACACAGUGGAUUAUUCAUUAACCCACAAUGCAAGAAAGCCAAAUUCACAAAGUAACAGUUUAGAACACUUGGUUACAGUCAAAACAUGUCUUGAAAAUCACCUUGAUUUGUUGUUUCCAGUGUAAGGGACCAUCCAUUGCAGUUCCACCCUGACAUGGGGCUGGGUAGAAUUUCUGCCAUAAAGACUGGGGUGAGCAAGUGGACAAGUUUGUUCUCUCAAAGGAAAAACAGGACAAGGGAAUUGAUGAGAAUGAGGCUCCAGGAUUCUGUAAGGGUGCAUGAAUGGAGGCAAGACAGUCUCACAGCCUUUCCUUUUUGCCUCCGCUUCCCCAGACAGGAAGGGGAGCUGGGAACUGAGUAUGUGAUGCAGGUUCUGGAGGAAGCUACAUGAAAGCAUAAAAACAUUGGGAGUACGACAUCAACAGGUGAAUGUAAGGAUAUGAGAUCAAACAGCUGUGCACAUCCAUACUACAACCACAGCCUGAGAUAUGCUAAGAGCUCAACACUCACAGGGAAGAAAUACUGCCUAAGAGCACAGCUUUCCACAUUCUGAGAACCUCAUCUGAAGUGCACUACGUGUGCCUGGAGCUACAAAUUCAAGCGUCAGUAGCAGCACUGGGGAUGCCCCAGGCCUACAGAAAAAGAACAGGGCACAGACUGCACCUUCCCUGUCCACAUGCAACAGCUGUGACCGAGACACAGACUCCAUCCACAGACUUGGAAACUCUAAUACCUCAAGAGCAAGAGAAGUUCUAGGUGUUAUUCAAAAAAGUGAAGGAGCCUUGGCCUAGAUAUGCUUUUUUUUUUUUUUUUUUUUUAAAACUAAAGAAGUCGGAUUUUAGAUUGGCAGUAACAUUGUUUUCUGGAAAACUUUUUUUUUUUUUUUUUUAAGAUAAUAUUUAAUAAAAACAAAAUUUUAAAACAAGAUAUACUGUUGUAAAGUCUGCAAAUACUCUCAAGCUAUUCUAUUUUUCCAUUCAGUAUCCUGUUGGCUUGACUUAUCCUUAUAAAUGAUACUAAGCUUAAUAACAUCCUAAUAGUUUAAACAGGUCUCAAAGAAGAGGGGAAAAAAUGCUUCAUCUUGAGAACUGAAAUGUGAUUGCCUUGACAGAGAGGAAACCAGCACACAAUCAUAUGCAUUCACUGAACAUUGACAAAUAAGCAUCUUGAGGGUCUGGUUUUUAUAGUACCUGAGGAAGAAGAGUACCCAUUAUGUAAGCUGCCUGUCAGGAAUAGAAAAAUACUACUUUGGUUUCCUAUUAGCAUCUCUGCUGAAUCAAAAAGUACUGCAGCUGUGCUGGGGGGCCAGAGGUGGAUAUUUUCACUUAAUGGCAAAGCUGAUCACUAGAGGCAGAAUCUUUAAGGCUAGAAAAGACCUCUGAAGAUGAUCUAGUCUGCUAGCACAACACAUUAGAAUAGGUUACAAGAACAGAGAUGCCUUUCAAUAAAUCCAUUACAGAUAUGAUGAUUGUGAUGUCUCUGUUGGGAUACAAUAGGGGUAAUGCUGCUAAAAGAAUGAAAAUUAAAAUACAAACAAUUUAAAGAACAGUGCGAUAACACUUGAAUUUAUUUUGAAAUGCCCAGUUCCACACAAAGCCCAGUGCAGGAAGCCUGGAGCCACCCCCCUCCCUCCCCAACAUACCCCCUCUGGGUGGGAAACCCCAAGGCCACAGCUCUGCUCCUGCCCCCAGCACACACUGUGAACACAGGUUGCUUAAUAAGCAACCAAUUGUACCAUGCUAAUAAAAAUACGUUUCUUGGCAAAAGCACUUGAUUUGGUUCCAUCUCACUUGAUGAAAAGUGGUUUAUUAAAUUAGGUCAAUUUGCUUACCUAAAGUUCGCUGAAACUGUUCUUGCAAUGCCACAUGUUGAGUAUCCUUCUAAAGGCUCACAGAAGAACACCUGCAAGCUGCUUACGUCAGAAGCAUCAAUCCCUGACUAAACAGCAGGUUCUGUUCCUCUCUCCCAGCAACGUGAAUGCUGAGCUGCAGAUACAUCAUGAGGAAAUACAUGUGCAUAAAAAUCUUUCUCCCUGCAAGUGAACGCCUUAUCUAUACCUAACAGGAUUGCGAAGAAAACCAUAAAUGAAGACACUGCAACAUUUUCAGUUAGCAAAUUACUCUGAUUUUAGAAACCAAUGUCUGCUUGCCACCAUUAUACAUAUGCCAAGUUCAUAGAAUCACAAAGUUGGAAAUGACCUGCAAGAUCAUCUAGUCCAACUGUGCUCCCAUUACCAUUGCUACCACAAGCACUAAACCAUCUCUCGCAGCUCCUCAUCCAGACGCCUCUUGAACACUGCCAGGGACAGCAACUCCACCACCUCCCUGGGCAGCCAUUCCAGUGCCUGACCACUCUCUGAGAGAAGAAGUUCUUCCUUAUGUCUAACCUAAACCUCCUCUGGUACAGCUUCCGGCCAUUUCCUUGGGUCCUGUUUGUUGCCUGGGAGAAGAGGCCAAACCCCUCCUCAUCACAACCUCCCUUCAGGAAGCUGUAGAGUGCAGUGAGGCCUCCUCCAAGCCUCCUCUUCUCCAGAAGAAACAAUCCCAGCUCAUCCAACCACUCCUCAUAAGACUAGCAGGAAGUGCCCUCACGAGCACAUGGGAACAACCAGCCUGCAUUUCCAGACCAGCACAGGCCUGUACCAUUUGGGUCAGAGAAUUGCUGUGCUCAAAACAGGGGUCACCUGCAGGUAGUCACAGGUGGCUUCACAACAGCUUGUCCAGGAGCCUGAUCUCCUGUGGAUGCCAAUUAGGGAAGACAGAGAGAUUCUGAUGCCCACUUGCUCCUGGUGGGGGAUUUCCCCACACUACAGAACAGAAAAGCACACUGUGAACUCCUUUCAUUCCACAGAAACCCUAAAAGAGCUGAGUUGUUAAGGUAUUUAUUAACAUAUUUGAUUCUCAGGGUUUUGAGUGUUAAAAUUUAGAGGGCAGAAAGCUGAAAAAUACUUCUAGUGUGUGGGUAGAUGAACAGUGACUAACAAGGGCAAUGAGGAAUUGAGAAACAGCCGCUGAAGGGCAUCACUGCAGAUUCUGGCAUCUCCUAACACCCUGAAAGAAGAAAAUGAAUGUCCUCCCUCUCAUUCCCACAUCAGCAUACCUCACAGGCACUCCCAUGGACUGGACCAGUGACAAGCUUGCUCUGUAAAAAGCCAUCCCAUUUGCACUGCCAGUAUGAAAGGAUGCAGUGCAACGUCGUCCUCUGGUAACUUCUGAUGCUUCAGGUACUAGGAAAAAAUUCUCCUCAAAUGAGUGGUAAGGCACUGGAAUAGGCUGCCGAAGGAUGCAAGAUGAGUCACUAUUGCUGGAGGUUUUCAAGAAUGCAUAGAUGUAACACUGAAGGAUAUGGUUAGUGUGCAUGGUAGCAGCAGUGAGUCGACAGUUGGACUAGAUGACCUUAGAUGUCUUUUCCAACCUUAAUGAUUAUGAUUCAAAGCAUUGGGCACUCACAGGCUCCAGCUCCAGCCAAUAAGCAUGCCCUUAGGAACCUACAGUUUAAAGAGUCAAAACACUUCUUCCAUUCUGUACAGGAGUAGUCAGCCCAGAAUCAUACACUAACCAUCAUCUUUAAUCUGCUGAAGGAGCUGCUUUUGCCUGUCAAGUAGAAGAGAAUUAAAACACAGCAUUUUUUGGAGCCAGUAAAGUCUGUUUGAGCCUAUCAGCCAUCAGGAAUCUUAGAGCUGAAGCACUGAAGGCUGACACAGGAGGAAACGGCAAUUUCACAAAGCACACUCUACCUAAAGGUCUGCCCCUUUACCCCUUCACUACUUCCCAUGCACUGAAGCAAGCACUGUGUUACUAGAAUACGCCAGUGCAGCAACUUGGUUCAAUUUCACUCCACUGGCACUGGCUGCCCAGCAAGGCAGCAGAAGCCCCAUCCUGGGGGACAUGCAAGGUUAGGCUGGAUGAGGAUCUGAGCAACCUGAUGCAGUGUAGGUGCCCCUGCUCAUUGCAGAGGAGUUGGCCAGAUGACCUUUAGAGGUCCCUUUCAACUCAAACAACUGUACAAUUCCAUGAUCCAAAUCAGCAGAAGACACCUGAAUUCCUGCCACUCAAGUUCUCACGUGCAGCCUUGUCCAUCACUUAACCAGUUACACGCAGCCAAGAGCUGUUCAUCAGUCCAUACUGCAAGGAAGUAUGAUCAUUCAUAAGUUUGAGAUAUCAACCUAUUUCUACUAUUAGUCUAAUAUCAUCUUAAGUGUUAUUUCCUUUCAGGACAUUUAGUAUUCCUUUUCCAUCUUGAGCAUAAGCUUUCUUGUUUGUCAUUCUUAGUUACUUUGAAAUUAUGAUCUAUUUUGGAACAACUCCAAAGCAUAAUUAUGUUUUCAAUUUAUUUUACAUCUCACUUAUAUAACAUGGCUUACAAUUGUCUGUACAUGUAACAUUGAUAUUUGAUAGACAAUAGUUCAAUUUUAAGUAUAUGCAAAAAAUGUAUAAAAAGUAUAUGCAAAAAUCUGAUCCUUGACCCACAAGGUUCUGAACUACAUAGUUCAGAGGGUUUUUAUUUCUUGAACAUGAAUGUUGGGUGAUGUUUAACUGCUUCUACUGAAAAACAGUUAAAACAUUUUGUAUUCUUCACUUGCAGUAAGAAUAAAUAGAGCACCGAAUUUUGUUAUUGAUUGGUUGCCUACUUUCUGCUUUAAAUUGCUGAUCCAUAGCAUGCACAGAAUGGUGUUUUGCAAUAAUUGAGAGCCAUUAAUCUUAUUUUACAGGACAAUGGAUGACAUCAAUAUUCCCUGGCACACAGAGCAAGGUAUUGUGCCAAGAAAGUGUUAUGCAAAGCAUUAAGAAAAUAGAAUACCAUCAUCAUCCUUGAAGGUACUGAAGUACAGGAAUUUAGCAGCACUCUCCAGAAAUAAAGGUUGAAUUGAAAAGUCUUCAAGAAGAAAAUACAAAAUAUAUUGGAGAAGGUGUAAGAAUAUUAAGUGCUGAGAUAUAAAACAUAGGUAGUAAAAGACGCAGACAUUUCUGUGCCACUGAAGCUGCUAGAAACAAGAGUCUCUUCACUAAAAGCGAAGAAAUGACAUUGCACAGUAAAAAAAACUAAAAGAGAAGGAACUGUAGUAGUGCUCAUAAAGUGGUAAAAACAUUUUAAAACAAAUUUGUCAUCAACUGAAAGCAUUUGUUUUAAUAGUAGCUUCAGGAGGUGGACCUUAGCUUGUAUCCACUGAACUAACUCAGCUGAAAUAAAAGGAGGCAACAUGUUUCUCAUACUGAAACCAAAACUAAUUGCUUGAAAAGUAGCAAAUAUUGAGCAAUUAGAGAUUUUCAUUCUUGUUUCAAGUCUGCAAACUGCCAACACUUAACUGUCAGGAAAUGUUUCCAGUGGACAGCUGCUUAUCAAAGCAAAGCAGUAGUCCAAGGGCAGCAGUGCUUGAAUGUGCCAAGCAAUGGCAAAAUUGAAUUCAACUAGGUCAAGUUUCAAAUAAAUAGCAGACUGUAGAAUAAUUCCUGAAAUAGAUUAGGACUGGGGCAUCAGAUGAAAUCUGCUCAGAUUGUACACUACACACCUCACACAGCCCUGAAAUAGGCACUGUGAAUAGGAGUAAUCUUUUACAGGCAGUAAAGACCUAAGAGUAAACUGGAAGUCAACUUGGCAGGAGUGGAAAACUGUACAUAAAGAAAUAAAGAAAACAAUUCUAAAAAUUAAUUUUUAAAAGGAUGUUUUUAGAAAACAAUAGCGGUAUGCCUAACUCCAGUGGCUAUGAAGAUUUUAUUCACUCUAAAAACCGCAACCAAAAGAAACCCAUCUUAUUUAUGGAAGACUCAUGCUACUCCAACUUCUUUGGUUUUGUAAAAUAAUAUAUAAUAAAUUGCAAUGACUCCCACAGACAGCAUAAGAAAGUGUUUGGACUCUAUGAUCCUUGUGAGUCCCUCCCAGUUCAGGAUAAUCUAUGAUCCUAAGACCAAAUGGCCUCACAUCCCUUCAGAAGACAUUUUCUAGGCAAGCUACUGUUAAUAACUAGGUCAGCCACUGUGCUACUUCAGGAUCUGAAAGACACAAGUAUCUGUUGUGGUUCUCAGCCUCAGAAGUUUCAGUAUUAUUUGUUUCUGCAGUGCCACAGCUGCGUGCAGCAUUCUACAGACUGCUGCUGAAGGAGCUGACAGCCCAAAUUAAACACAAAGCACCACCAUAAAACAAAUCAGACUCAAAAAGCACUCAAAGAGCUAUCAGAACUUCUAAAAACCUGAAGUUUUCACUGCUAACUGAAAAGCCAUUCAGUUAGCAUUUCAUAUACACAGACAUCCCAUCUUGGAGCCUGCUGCUGGAGGAAGACUUUCUUUUUAAUCCCUGGAUGUGAGCUAUGGAAACGUGUUUUGGGGCUGAAAGGGAAGCUAGAGUUGUAAGAAAAAGAUAGGCAGGAAAGAGGUUCCAGGCAGAGUUAACAGAAAUCAGUUGUGAAAGUGAAGACUGGCAAAAGGCAGUCAAGGAAGAAACUGCUGUAGAAUGAUACCUCCACAACAAACUUGACACCACAUACAUACAUGUCAAUCCUGAAGUUACAAGAUAAGCUAAUAAGCAAAUCAAUCAAAAAGCAAGAAAGCCAGAUAUAAGUCAGGAGAUGAAAUAGUAUUGUACAUGAGGAAAAUCCACAAGACUGAAGUCAUAGGAAAAUGGGAGUCUAAGGGCAGGAUUUGCACUAGCACAAGGAAAAGGCUGGCGUUAUUCAGUGAGAUGCUAACAGGGAAGACAGGCUAACUCUAAAAGAGUUUCAGGUUAGCUGCGUUUAGUUCAGCAUCAAGUGUCAAGUGGGAAGUAAUCGUGUGAUUUAAGACUUCACCUGUAUUGAAGGUGUUAGAACUGCAGUCACUCACAAAAGGAUUUGGACAAAGAAGGCACCAAGAUAGAACCCUGAAGAAUGGAGUGAGAAUUUAUUCAAAAUCUGAUGAGUCUUACUUAUCUAUAGAAACAGAUAAAAACAUACUGAAGCCUUAAUAGUCCAUUUAGUCCAUUAGCAUUUAGUGGGUAUAAACGUAAUUUUCUAUCCAACAGGUAGCAAUAACAAAAUAAUAUCUGAAGUAUAUCUAUAUUAUCCAUUCCUUUCCAUACUUAACUAGUCAGAGAAGACCAAGAACACCCAAAGCUGCAGCACAUGCAACGAUCUGCCUAUCAAACCUUUACCUACUGAACCCAAAGAUGUUUUCAGGACUCUGGAGCUAAAUGGCUAACACCUACAGGAGCACCAAGUCAUACCCACCAUGGGAGCAGAAAGCAUCACAGCAGUCUUGCACUGUAGGAUUACAGGAACCACAAGACUGUAAAACAAAGACACAUCUGGACGUUCACCUGGGCCUGGCAGAAAGCCCAGAGCGACUGCUGGUUCAGUGCUCAGCUCUGAGCAAGAGACCUCAGUGGAAAAAAGAUACUCUGGAGGACCAUAGUUGAAGGUUUCUCAGGCUACACAUAAACUCCCUAUCUCCAGCAUUCUAGACUCUCACCUUCCUCAUCUCUUUACAGUAUAGAGGCAACAUCCAGCCUUCCCUUCUCCUAAAUGAAUUUCAGGUUUUAAAUCUGUGGAAGAGGCUUAAAAAUAAAUAAAAAAAAAAAAAAACACA
Long non-coding RNA from Lagopus muta (rock ptarmigan), 11525 nucleotides. RefSeq lists it as uncharacterized. The transcript has 2 exons. Lineage: Eukaryota; Metazoa; Chordata; Aves; Galliformes; Phasianidae. The record is from RefSeq and is a predicted model, not a curated record.